RNAcentral lists this ribosomal RNA (180 nucleotides) under uncultured Glomeromycotina. RNAcentral's name for it is "partial small subunit ribosomal RNA". Lineage: Eukaryota; Fungi; Glomeromycota. The record is from RNAcentral.
GGGUCUGUCAAUUGGUCGGGCUUCACGGUCCGUACUGGUUCGAUGGGUUCCUACCUUCUGAAUAACCAGCAUGCCAUUCAUUUGGUGCGCCGGGGAAGCAGAGCUAUUACCUUGAAAAAAUUAGAGUGCUUAAAGCAGGCUAGUGCUUGAAUAGAUUAGCAUGGAAUAAUAAAAUAGGAC